CAAAAUGUGCUGAAAGUCCUCAUUUGCCACCAGAGACUGCACAUACAAAAAAUCCAUACUCACAUUCUCAUCUAGCAAAAGUCAAACCGCACACCUAACGCGCAAAUCUAUACAAAAAAUAUAAUAAUAUACACAUCUAAGAGACUGCAAUUGGCAUUCCAGAUCAAGCUAAACAAGCAAGCCAGCAAUGAAAAGCACACACACAGGAUACAUAGAACUAAAGCAUGCUUAUAACACAUGUAUUCCCACGAGAAUCGAAUAGUAUUGAAACCCUUAUCAACAGUUCAGAUCAAACAAACGUAAAUUCACACAUAAACAAGCAAGUAAACGCUUUUUUUUAUAUUUAAUAACGAAAAAGCAUGUAAUCAUGUAAAAGCGAUUGAAACCCUAAUUACCAUUUUGUAUUGCAGUGACUUUGCAAGAGAGAGGGAAAGGGCUCCGGCGUACUGAGACGCAGCUUCAAAUAACUAACAG
This 474-nucleotide unclassified non-coding RNA is filed under the name Hevea brasiliensis (rubber tree). The record is from RNAcentral. Lineage: Eukaryota; Viridiplantae; Streptophyta; Magnoliopsida; Malpighiales; Euphorbiaceae.